GAGCGGCAGCGCGGGGGCAACCCUGGCGGCGAGCGGCGAACGGGUGAGUAAUACAUCGGAACGUGUCCUUUCGUGGGGGAUAACCAGUCGAAAGACUGGCUAAUACCGCAUGAGAUCGAAGGAUGAAAGCGAGGGACCGCAAGGCCUCGCGCGAUUGGAGCGGCCGAUGUCGGAUUAGCUAGUUGGCGGGGUAAUGGCCCACCAAGGCGACGAUCCGUAGCUGGUUUGAGAGAACGACCAGCCACACUGGGACUGAGACACGGCCCAGACUCCUACGGGAGGCAGCAGUGGGGAAUUUUGGACAAUGGGCGCAAGCCUGAUCCAGCCAUGCCGCGUGUGUGAAGAAGGCCUUCGGGUUGUAAAGCACUUUCGGCCGGAACGAAAUCGCCCGUGUUAACAGCGCGGGUGGAUGACGGUACCGGAAGAAGAAGCACCGGCUAACUACGUG
RNAcentral lists this ribosomal RNA (448 nucleotides) under uncultured bacterium. Its description in RNAcentral is "bacterial SSU rRNA". It matches the Rfam family "Bacterial small subunit ribosomal RNA", at positions 64 to 507 of the family's 1533-position model. The record is from RNAcentral.